AGGACGAACGCUGGCGGCGUGCUUAACACAUGCAAGUCGAGCGGAAAGGCCCUUCGGGGUACUCGAGCGGCGAACGGGUGAGUAACACGUGAGCAAUCUGCCCUUAGCUUCUGGAUAGCCCCGGGAAACCGGGAUUAAUACCGAAUACGACCUCGGCCGACAUCGGCUUUGGUGGAAAGUUUUUCGGCUAGGGAUGAACUCGCGGCCUAUCAGCUUGUUGGUGGGGUAAUGGCCUACCAAGGCGACGACGGGUAGCCGGCCUGAGAGGGCGACCGGCCACACUGGGACUGAGACACGGCCCAGACUCCUACGGGAGGCAGCAGUGGGGAAUAUUGCGCAAUGGGCGAAAGCCUGACGCAGCGACGCCGCGUGGGGGAUGAAGGCCUUCGGGUUGUAAACCCCUUUCAGCAGGGACGAAGCGAGAGUGACGGUACCUGCAGAAGAAGCGCCGGCUAACUACGCGCCAGCAGCCGC
This 474-nucleotide ribosomal RNA is filed under the name uncultured bacterium. Its description in RNAcentral is "SSU rRNA". It matches the Rfam family "Bacterial small subunit ribosomal RNA", at positions 26 to 518 of the family's 1533-position model. The record is from RNAcentral.